Molecule: long non-coding RNA, 626 nt
Organism: Centruroides sculpturatus (bark scorpion)
Lineage: Eukaryota; Metazoa; Arthropoda; Arachnida; Scorpiones; Buthidae
Exons: 3
Source: RefSeq, a predicted model, not a curated record
GUAAUUUAAUUUUUUAAUACUUUCGUCUUUUAUAUUUUAUAGGACAGAACAAGAAAGCUAGCAAAAUUUUAUAUAAAAUGCUAUCCAUAUUUUCAUUUCUCAUUGGAAUUUAUAAAUCUUGUUUAUCAAGUAAGCUAUGCAAUAGGUAAAAGUGCUUAUCACAGUCCUUUAUUGCAUAUAUCUAAUACUCAGUUGAGAACGUUAACUCAUGAAGAUCAGAUUCUUUUGGAAAAGAAGAAAACAAUUGUAAAUAAAAAUAUCAGAUGGAAAGGAUUUCCGUAUAACGUAUUUCAGAUAGGAAUUAAAAGUUUAGCAGCUGGUAUUUCCAUUAGUCUGUCUACUGGGGCUUUCUUUUUACAGUUUUUAGAUUGGUGGUAUAGUCAAGAUAACUCAGGAUAUUUUUCACAAUUUCCUAUUCCUCCACCUCCAGAAAAGUGGCCAUUGAAAUUUAAUAAAGGAAUUUGUCCACUCUGUCAUCAAAAACGAAGAAAUGAAACAGUUCUAUCCACCAGUGGGUAUGUAUAUUAUGACAGAAUACAAAUACAUAUAUAAAUAUUGAAUUUAAGAAUAAAACAUAUUAAUGAUUUGCUGUAGCUAUACAAAAAGUCAAAAGUAAAAUAAUGAAU